GUUCAUAGAUACGCAUACAGGAUGUAAAAGCAAACCAGUGGUACUUCCUUCCUGCCCUGAGAUUCCAUCCGUGACUGCUUUGCAGCAGUGGAGGGUCCAACCCAGCCCCCUCUGCUGCCUGUGUAUAUGAUGUUCACUGCAGCUCUGUCCCUGCAGAUGUCUUGAGAAAUGUGCUUGCUGUAAAUUGUAUUGUACCGCUGACGUGACCGGGGCCACCCCCUCCUCCCACCCACUGCCACCAUGCAAGGACCAGAGCUCCCACCAGCCCAGGGGACACUUUUCCUAGCACAGGACUGGUGUCCUGCAGCGCCUUGCCUCUAGGGCAGCAAGUACUGCCCAAAGCCUCUCGUAUAAAACAAUUCUGGGGGAGCCAAAGAACCUUUCCUGCCCCUGGAAGGGACUUGCUGGCAGUGUCUCCAUGCUUUGGAAACGGAUCCCCUUAGAGCACGACGAGUGCUCCUGGCUGAAGCAGCAUCCCAGCUCUGUUUGCCCAGGGUAAAAUUAACAACCCAGCGCUUUCACACCUCCUUCCGAAGCACUGUAGAGGGGACAACACCUCCACCUCCUGUGGGAGCUGUGACCAGCUGCAAGCCAGCACAGCCAGAGGGCCCAGCCAAAGACCCUCCUCUGGUCCAAAGAGCAUGGCCCCCAGCUAUCCCAGCACCAUCAGCUGCUUUGUAAAUGUAGAUGUUUGACAUACUCCUGCUGCUUUUUCUUCUCACAUUCCCUUCUCUGAGCCAACCCCACUGCUACAAGAGAA
Molecule: long non-coding RNA, 760 nt
Filed under: Serinus canaria (Common canary)
Lineage: Eukaryota; Metazoa; Chordata; Aves; Passeriformes; Fringillidae
Description: lncRNA (ENSSCAG00000015150.1)
Source: RNAcentral